RNAcentral lists this ribosomal RNA (490 nucleotides) under uncultured bacterium. Its description in RNAcentral is "partial 16S ribosomal RNA". It matches the Rfam family "Bacterial small subunit ribosomal RNA", at positions 30 to 507 of the family's 1533-position model. The record is from RNAcentral.
AUUGAACGCUGGCGGCAGGCCUAACACAUGCAAGUCGAACGGUAACAGGAAGCAGCUUGCUGCUUCGCUGACGAGUGGCGGACGGGUGAGUAAUGUCUGGGAAACUGCCUGAUGGAGGGGGAUAACUACUGGAAACGGUAGCUAAUACCGCAUAACGUCGCAAGACCAAAGAGGGGGACCUUAGGGCCUCUUGCCAUCGGAUGUGCCCAGAUGGGAUUAGCUAGUAGGUGGGGUAACGGCUCACCUAGGCGACGAUCCUUAGCUGGUCUGAGAGGAUGACCAGCCACACGGGAACUGAGACACGGUCCAGACUCCUACGGGAGGCAGCAGUGGGGAAUAUUGCACAAUGGGCGCAAGCCUGAUGCAGCCAUGCCGCGUGUAUGAAGAAGGCCUUCGGGUUGUAAAGUACUUUCAGCGGGGAGGAAGGGAGUAAAGUUAAUACCUUUGCUCAUUGACGUUACCCGCAGAAGAAGCACCGGCUAACUCCGUG